This 458-nucleotide ribosomal RNA is filed under the name uncultured eukaryote. Its description in RNAcentral is "bacterial SSU rRNA". It matches the Rfam family "Eukaryotic small subunit ribosomal RNA", at positions 116 to 590 of the family's 1831-position model. The record is from RNAcentral.
UUGACCACCCGAAAGCUACGGAUAAGCAAUGGUAAUUCUAUGCAUAAUCCGCAUUGCCCUCUGGGCAGUAUUCGUACCCUCGCAUAACGGCAGCUUGGCUCCGGCCAUCUAUACGUGAGUGAGGGAUACGAUAAGCAUGUUCUUGCUAAGCGCGCAUACGUGCGGCGGGUGUAAAAUCUCUGCCCCAUCAAGUAGUUGGCAGGGUCGUGGCCUACCAAGCUUGUAACGGUAACGGGGAAUGAGGGUUCGAUUCCGGAGAGGGAGCAUGAGAAAUGGCUACCACUUCCAAGGAGGGCAGCAGGCGCGUAAAUUACCCAAUCCUCAUAUGAGGGAGGUAGUGACAAGAAAUAUCGGAUCAGAGCCUGUCAGCUCUCGAUCGGAAUGAGUGCAAGUUAAACCUCUCAACGAGGAACCAUUGGAGGGCAAGUCUGGUGCCAGCAGCCGCGGUAAUUCCAGCU